This 492-nucleotide ribosomal RNA is filed under the name uncultured bacterium. RNAcentral describes it as "partial 16S ribosomal RNA". It matches the Rfam family "Bacterial small subunit ribosomal RNA", at positions 29 to 507 of the family's 1533-position model. The record is from RNAcentral.
AGUGAACGCUGGCGGUAGGCCUAACACAUGCAAGUCGAACGGCAGCACAGUAAGAGCUUGCUCUUACGGGUGGCGAGUGGCGGACGGGUGAGGAAUACAUCGGAAUCUACUUUUUCGUGGGGGAUAACGUAGGGAGACUUACGCUAAUACCGCAUACGACCUACGGGUGAAAGCAGGGGAUCUUCGGACCUUGCGCGAUUGAAUGAGCCGAUGUCGGAUUAGCUAGUUGGCGGGGUAAAGGCCCACCAAGGCGACGAUCCGUAGCUGGUCUGAGAGGAUGAUCAGCCACACUGGAACUGAGACACGGUCCAGACUCCUACGGGAGGCAGCAGUGGGGAAUAUUGGACAAUGGGCGCAAGCCUGAUCCAGUCAUACCGCGUGUGUGAAGAAGGCCUUCGGGUUGUAAAGCCCUUUUGUUGGGAAAGAAAAGCAGCAGGUUAAUACCCCGCUGUUCUGACGGUACCCAAAGAAUAAGCACCGGCUAACUUCGUG